UUUGAAGUGUUGCUUCAAUAGAGCCUUCUAUUGCUUUUCUAGCAUCUUUUUUCAGAUUGUCAUCAAUGAAUAGUGAAAUGUACUCGGGGGCUCGGGUAUAUCCGUCUACGAACGUAACAAAAGCAUCUGAUAAAGAGUUCAAGAUAGACCGAUCAGCAUCCAUAGUAGUACUUAUAAUUGUAUUUAGUCUAUCCCAUAAGGCCAAAACUUUUUGAACCCAUAAUGUUGCCAUUGUAGCAUUA
This is a non-coding RNA of Schizosaccharomyces pombe (fission yeast), 242 nucleotides long. The record is from the annotation of a GenBank genome assembly. Lineage: Eukaryota; Fungi; Ascomycota; Schizosaccharomycetes; Schizosaccharomycetales; Schizosaccharomycetaceae.